This 253-nucleotide ribosomal RNA is filed under the name uncultured bacterium. RNAcentral describes it as "partial 16S ribosomal RNA". It matches the Rfam family "Bacterial small subunit ribosomal RNA", at positions 524 to 776 of the family's 1533-position model. The record is from RNAcentral.
UACGUAGGUGACAAGCGUUGUCCGGAUUUACUGGGCGUAAAGAGCGCGCAGGCGGUCGAUCAAGUCGAGUGUGAAAGCCCCCGGCUCAACUGGGGAGGGUCAUUCGAUACUGAUCGACUCGAAGGCAGGAGAGGGUAGUGGAAUUCCCGGUGUAGUGGUGAAAUGCGCAGAUAUCAGGAGGAACACCGGUGGCGAAGGCGGGUCUCUGGGCCGAUACUGACGCUGAGGAGCGAAAGCGUGGGGAGCGAACAGG